This 401-nucleotide ribosomal RNA is filed under the name uncultured bacterium. Its description in RNAcentral is "partial 16S ribosomal RNA". It matches the Rfam family "Archaeal small subunit ribosomal RNA", at positions 473 to 873 of the family's 1478-position model. The record is from RNAcentral.
ACACCGGCAGCCCAAGUGGUGGCCAUUUUUAUUGGGCCUAAAGCGUUCGUAGCCGGCCUGAUAAGUCUCUGGUGAAAUCCCGCAGCUUAACUGUGGGAAUUGCUGGAGAUACUAUCAGGCUUGAGGUCGGGAGAGGUUAGAGGUACUCCCAGGGUAGGGGUGAAAUCCUGUAAUCCUGGGAGGACCACCUGUGGCGAAGGCGUCCAGCUGGAACGAACCUGACGGUGAGGGACGAAAGCCAGGGGCGCGAACCGGAUUAGAUACCCGGGUAGUCCUGGCCGUAAACGAUGUGGACUUGGUGUUGGGAUGGCUUCGAGCUGCCCCAGUGCCGAAGGGAAGCUGUUAAGUCCACCGCCUGGGAAGUACGGCCGCAAGGCUGAAACUUAAAGGAAUUGGCGGGG